RNAcentral lists this long non-coding RNA (649 nucleotides) under Gouania willdenowi (blunt-snouted clingfish). RNAcentral describes it as "lncRNA (ENSGWIG00000004524.1)". The record is from RNAcentral. Lineage: Eukaryota; Metazoa; Chordata; Actinopteri; Blenniiformes; Gobiesocidae.
CUGGGCGACUUACCCUGUGACGUCAUCUACUCAUGUUUGUAGAUGUCCUCCUCCACCAUUAACAGACCUCAAAUUUUACAGCAGUCCAUUCUUCCCACCUGAGUGUUUUCCUUCUUUUGAAGAACGGUAAGCAAAGCAAACAAACACACCUGAUCCAUCACAGACGUUGGUCCACAUGUUUGGGACAUGAUUUCUCAUCCCGCCUGUUUAUGUUUUUAUCUUUGUAGAGAUGAGUUGGAUGAGUUAUUGGCUAUCAUGCCACCAGAGGCCCUGGAACCCGUCCCAGUUCCAAAGAAAAGAAAACACGAGAAGGAUAAGGGGACGUAUGUAAAGAAACCUCCCAACGCAUUUAUGCUGUUCUUAAAAAGCGAGAGGAAGACAGUCCAGGAAGAGCUCGGCAUUAAGAACAGUGCCGCAGUCAAUCGAGUUCUUUCUGAACGCUGGAAGUCUUUGGCAGAAGACAAAAGGUAGAUCUUCCAAGCUGAAGCCCAAGUGGAAGCUCAUAUACACGCUCUCAAUAACCCAGGCUGGAGCAACAAAGUGAAUUACGUAAGUCUACUGCGCAGAAAUGUUUACCCAUCCACCUUAUAGGUGAUGACAUCAUGACUGUGGAAGUGUUUUAUCAGCUGACUAGAAUUGUCACGUGUCU